Molecule: ribosomal RNA, 423 nt
Filed under: Triticum aestivum (bread wheat)
Lineage: Eukaryota; Viridiplantae; Streptophyta; Magnoliopsida; Poales; Poaceae
Description: partial small subunit ribosomal RNA
Source: RNAcentral
AUGACUCCAACUCAGAGACCCACAAUUACAAACAUUGAGAGGGUGUCAGAUCUCAUAGACACUCGGAGUUGGUCUUGGAAGUUCGAGCUGAUCAGGGAUAAUUUCACGGCUCAAGAUGCCGAGGCCAUACUUAAUAUUCCUAUCAGGCAAGGCGGUGGUGAUGAUUUUCUAGCUUGGGCAUUUGACAUAUCAGGUAACUACACUGUAAAGACAGCGUACCGUGCUCUCGUGACUCAGAACGAGCGUUUGGCUCUAGAGGAAGGGACGGAUACCGAAACCUCAUCGGAUGAUCAACAAAUGUGGAAAUCCUUGUGGAAGUUGAAUGUUAUCCCAAAAGUAAGAGUAUUCUGGUGGAGAGUGUUACGUGGCAUUCUUCCAGAUGAAACUACUCUCAACUAUCGACACAUUGCAGAAGUUCGCUAG